GCUUAGGUAUUUUAAAUUUUAAAAAUUAUGAUUUGUGGUGUCAUAGAUAUCUGUUGUUGAUCUUAAGUC
Molecule: transfer RNA, 69 nt
Filed under: Abidama producta
Lineage: Eukaryota; Metazoa; Arthropoda; Insecta; Hemiptera; Cercopidae
Description: tRNA-His
Source: RNAcentral